This is a non-coding RNA of Coturnix japonica (Japanese quail), 7291 nucleotides long. The record is from RefSeq and is a predicted model, not a curated record. NCBI's taxonomy places the organism in Eukaryota, Metazoa, Chordata, Aves, Galliformes, Phasianidae.
UUCAGGCUGAGAGCUUCUUGUCACCAACACAGUGAGCACAGUCACCAGCUGAUGCCAGGCUGCCCUGGGGACCAGCACAGUGACAGCAACAGCGGGGUAUGGCCAGGCCACCUGCACCACCCUAAUUCUUACCCCUGGGCUCUUACUCAGGCUGCCUCGGGACAAGGGCUGUGAACUGCUCACUCAAGUACUGGCUACAGGAUUCACCCCAGGUUUGUAGAUGGACCAAAGCUGUUUAGAGAAGCACAAGGAACUGUGAUGGGACGGAUCUUCAUAAAAUUAAAGUUGCUGCACUCAAAGUAGAUGCAUCGCAUUUUGAUGUCGUUUGGCUCUUUUCAAGGUGUGAAAUUGGUAAGCACCAACACCAAAGGAAAGAAGUUCUUUUAAUACUGCGCUGUGCCACUUGAAGCAGCAUUACCCUCUGGCUCAAAGCCAGCAAACUCCAGUGAGAACUAUUUUAUAGCAGAUGACUAUAAUAAAAGAUAUUUAAACAUGGCCUAACAAUGGAUUAAACUAGUAAGACAUAGUUUGUGUUAGAUCCCAAGGAUGAAUAUCAAAAAUAGAGGCAAUAUUUUAGAAACAACAGCCAGCAGUGAAAAGUUUAUUUCUAAUAUAAACCAGACAGUCCCCAAAAUAAUUUGUGGUUUAUUUAAUUCUUACCGUUCAUCUUGUGUUCUUUUGAGUAAGCUAAAGUAAGGCACCCGCCUCAAAACAGCAGCUGGUUUAGAUUUUGAUUCUGGAUCUCCAGUGAGCUGAAAAACUGUAAUCUACAUCUGCAGGGGUGGGGAGUCAUUUCUGUAAACAGAGAAAUAAGGAUUCGUUGUGGGGGGAGGGCGGCUUAUCCAAAGGUGCAUUAGGGAGAAGAGAGAGAGAAGAAAAACCAACCUCGCUAAUGUAUUAUAAUAAAUUACUGUUUUGUCAUUAUCUGGUUAUAUUUGCACAAACAUCAAUUGCAUGUGAGCCCUGAAAAAGAAUGUCUCAUUGCCUUUAAUAUGCACUGCAGUGUGCACCCAUACAAAAUCAUUACUGUAACAAAACCAGCUGCGUGUAAUAGAAAGCAAAUGAUUUACAAUGUUACUAUAAGAAACUACUUUAUUUCACAUUAUCAUAAAAAGAACAGCACUGAAAAUUUGCAUGACAAACACAAGAAUCCAGGAAAUUCCAAAUCUAAUUCAUUUUUAGGUUUUAAUAGGUAUUAACUUACUAAGGUGAAUCGCUAAGAACAUUUCUUGAAGAAUAUUCCCAGAGAGUUUAGCUGCAAUAUUGGUAAUUACAUUUACUGAAAUACAAGGUAGUCCAGUAGAAGAAGAAAACACAGAAGCUUUAAAUACAUAGGUCGCUCCAAAAUUAAUGCAUUCAAUUUCUUUCCAUGGAAUCUACAACAUAUACAAAGAGCAUGAUAGUGCUCUUUGGUGGAGCAAACUCUCAGCUACAAAACACUGUCACCACCGUUAGCUAUGCAUUGCUGAAGAUGAACAAGAGCCUGCAUGCUGUGCUUGUAAAAAUCUGUACCAGCAGAAGUGACCUACUGUCUCUGUCACCACUGAUGAAAUGCAGCAUUGAGCUGACAUCCGCUGUUUGGUCUCUAUUAACGUUCAGCAAGCAUGAAUGAAUGUCAAUGGGAGGAAUUCAAUGACACACCUUUGCUUCGCGUGCACUUCCAUGUCAGCCCCUCUGAUGCCAUCUGUCAGACAUCAACAAAAUGUAACAGGGUGUUGGUGGAAGGGUCCUAUCUAUACUGCUGUACCAUCAACAUCCAUCUCUGACAUCACAAGCUGACAUGAUAAAAUAGGAGGCGCUACUUUCAGAGCAGUCCUUAUGGUUUGCAUUCCCUGCAGGUCCUAGAGAAGCAUGUUUCUUUUUACCACAACACCUUGGCUGAAGGUUCGGUGCUAUCAUGGAUAUUUCUGAAGCCAUUGGGAUGUCAGACCCUGAGACAAAACCUGCUGGAUUAGUGACCAAUAGUCUUCAAACCUCAGUAGAUAUCAACCUGCAUGGUUACAUUUUUCAGCUGUUAUGAAAUUGAAACAAAUAAAUAUAAGCAGUUUCAAACCUAUACUCUACCCAGUUGUAUGAAGUAGCUGGGUUACUCGAGGGAUUUACUAGAUUACGGUGGAUACCCCAUGAGCAAGGACACAAACUCUAUCUCAUACGAUUCAUGAAACAAGUUUCUGUUGCAUCAUGGCAGAUAUGCUUAUUUUGUGUAGGUAUUGAAGGAGAUAACAGUUGUUGCAAAAGAGGCAGAGGGGAUGUAAAACAAAAGCUAGUCUUGAACAAACGGGGCUUUAUAAGACUUAGGCAAAACUCAAACAAAUGUUCAAUGAAAGUCACUUUUAUGGCUUUACUUUGGUUUAUCGCAAGGCAGUAAUAAAUGUGUCUCAUUAAAAGCCAGUAAAAGAACACCACCUACACCACCAAUUGCUGUAACUGCAGAUAUAGCAGAUCUGGAAUAGUUACCUAAAGACCCUAAUUUCCUAGCAUUUAAUGCUUCCCUGUCCAUAUAAACUAGCCUUCUAUGGAUUUAAAGACUGUUGGAAGCUAAAAGCAGCAGCUGUUGCUGGGAAAACGACACUUUCAAAGCUCUGUUUCUUUCUCAAGGUGAAUUUGGAGGAAGGUUGAGUGAACAUGUAGCUCUUGUUGGUUAAAAAAAUGCCAGAGGAGAAUGUGCCAACAGAAAGAGAAGCAAUUCCCCCAGACUGCCUAGAGAACGAGCAUCUUGCCUCCACUUUAUUGCUCAGCGGGUCAAAUUCAUUCCUGGUGAAAUGGCAGUUCCCAUGGUGAAGUUGCAGGAAAACUCUGAAUCCUUCUGGCACCUGUCAAGAAAUAGGGAUGUGAAAGCAGGGGGAGGAACUGGCAUGUAGAAGCUGGGAUUAAGGGUGGGAGCCACCACAUAAAAGGUUAUUCUUGUUCUGGUUGUUAGAACUUUUUUUAUUGCGUAGAAUUUACAUACAUGCUUAUUAAGUGGUUUAAAAAAGAAGCCUGACAGAUAUUAAACAGCAUGCCACACUCUUUAUGCUGCUGCCAUACAGAUGUGUCCAAAGCAUAAACAGACUUACAUUCAGCACUUGAUUGCUCUAUGGGAGAGGAUCUCUCUAGUAAACGUCUCCAAACUUUUCAGGACAAUUAGCUUGAGAAUUGGAAACGUCUUUUUUUCCUAAUUUGAUCCUUUUCUUGAUCUCUUGCUGCUUUCCAAUUAUAAAGAGAAAAUAUAUAGCAAGUGUUUUAAUACCCUAGAUUGAAUUUCCUAAACCUAAGCUAGCUGUAGAAUUACUGGGCCGGGGAUUCUGGCACAAGACAUACAGCUGUGUGUGAGCUGGUGGGAAAACUACUGGCGUAUCAUGACUAGUUUUGGUGUUCACACUUCAAAGAAGGCAUGGAAAACUGAAAAUAGAUCAGAAAAGAAUGAUUUCAAGAUAUGUAAUGUCAGCCUCGUAGGGAUCGAUGUAUGCAAGCCUACUAGGUUUACUUUAUCAAAAGAAAGGUUAUGAGACUUGAUAAUUAUAUAUUAAUACCUACACGUGGAGAAUAUUUGUAAUGGCUCUGAAAGUUAGCACGUAGAAACACAUUGGGACCUAGAAGCUGAACAUGGACAAAAUUCUGACUAUGCAUAAAAAAAACAGGAUUAACAGUAAAGUUAACGAGUUAUGAUGAACAUUUCUGCAAAAAGAUUGUGGAUUCUUCACCCCAGCAGCUUUUUGGUCUUUGCUGUAAGGAGAAACAUUGUGCUUGACCCAUGAACUGCAGUGUGGGUGCAGGAUUUCGAGGUGAUACAUUCUGAUAGUUAAUCACAAAGAUCUCCAUGGCCAAACACAGGAAUGGGGCAGUCCAGUCUUGCUCAGUUGAAUUAGCUGGCAAAACUGAAGCUGGUAUAUGAAGUACAUUAAAAUCCACAUCCCAAAAGGCCUCUCAAAUCUGGCACAUCUGAGAAGCUCUGUCACUUGCACUGAUGCCUUUUAUGCCUGGAUUUAUGAGUGCCUGCCCUCAGAAGGGAAUGGAUCCUGUAGGCAUCCUUAGUUCUCAGGUCCAAUCCCAAAACUGGCAGACUGUCCAACAGGAUUCUUACUUACUUGAAGUUUAUCACCCUACCCUUUAUUUUCAGAUUUCACCAUGUUUAAGUUGUGAAAAUCCUUCCUUAAUGAUCCAUCCAGCUUGCAGUAAGGAAAUGGAAAUUGCUCUGUUCUGUUCUCUUCAUACUUCACCCAAAUCACGCUCUAAAAUCCAGAGAUUCUUUUUGAAGGUAUUUUGAAGUUUGUAUAAUAGUCAGACACCUGGUAAAAGCCCUUUAAUGCAUGAACUUGUGUUAUCUAAAUAUUUUUGUGACCAUCAUCCAUUUUCUCAGCUUAUACUUCUGUGAAAAUAUUAAAAUAUAGCCAGGCAAUCUCUUAUAUCCAAUCUCUUUUGUGUUACGCCCAAUCCAACUACUCUAAUCCUUCUUCCACCUUCCUAUCCCCUGCCUUUUUUUUUCCCUCUCAAAUCUGUUACCACUGGAUAGAACCCUCUGGCAAAUAUCCUUUUGGGAAUGCAUACUGGGUACUGAAAUGCUGAUCUGAAUUUCUGUGGUUUAAGCAAUUUUCAGGGAUGAACCUGUAAAGUUGUGUCUUGGCCAGGAUGAUAUUUAAACCAGCACUUACAACUGCCUCUGAGUUUUGUUGAGUAAAGGCUAUUUUCACAUUGACAUUAGGCUCGUGCAUCUUCUUUGAGUCAGCAAUCUCUUUGCAUUAUCAUGCAAUUCAACCACAACUUUGGUGCAGUUAAUAACACCUCAUCUACAGAUUUCUGUGACCUCUUGAUAUUGUCCCCAGGGAUGGAAGGUAGUGGUAGGAAACUUUGCAGACAAUCUUGAGAUAAAUGAAGCUGGCACAUCCAGUUGUCAGAAUGGUGUAUUUAAUUAUACAGCCUUUUCUACCAGAGAAAAUGAAGGUGAACAUGCUGUCACAGUGAUGUGGGGGAGAGAAAAAAUGAGACUGAGCAGCAGCAGAGAAACAAAGGAGAAGCUAAAGGAAAACAAAAUAUGGAGAUGAUUUAAAAUCACUUAUGAGACCUGUGCCUGCUAAUGCAUUUUUUUCAAAUGAUCACGACUUACAUAAAAUGCAUCUGAACAUCUUCUUCUCAUUAGAAAUACUGAGUUGAGAAAGAUAUAACCAGUAUCCCAGUGUGUUCCUCUUACAUGGGCUUUGAACCAGACUUAGAAAGUUGCAUCCAGCACUGGUAUGCCUUAACAUCACAUGUUACUGGAUGAUGAGACAUCUGUGUUCUUAUAUGGACAAUCAUAUACUCCAACAUUAGUGAGAGUGUUUUUAGAGAACAGUUGCUGAUGUGUUCGCAUGGUUCCUGUUUUUCUACUGAGACUGGUACACUCUGUCUUUUAUUUCAUACUUUGCUAGCAGAUGGUGUUGCAAAAAAUAUACUAUUUUCAUUCACUGUAUUUUCAUAGACAAUGCUGUCAAACAUCAAUCAAAAAAAGGGAGCACCGCUGGCUUUAGCCCAUGAAGUGAAAAGCAUAAGAUAACGGGCAAAGUAGGAAAACACAUGACUUGUUCAUUAGAUUCAUUCAAAGAGGUGAGUGAAGAAUCUCAGAGUGUGGCCUCUGCAUUCUGGCAAUGUUAAAGUGGAAAGCUUUCAUGGAAGUUCCUCUAUUAGAAGCAAAGAAAGAAACAUGGUGGUCAAAUGUAUAUACCCAACAGGAGACCGUAACAUUAGGUGACUGUCUUCAUUUUUAUUUACUCAGAUUCCAGAAAGAAUGAAAUCUCUAAAUCUCAUUGCAAAGCUUUGCUUUCGGACACAGCUUAUUUCUAAAGGCACAGUGAAUGAAACUGACAGAACAGACUCGGUGCACUUCUAGUGCAGGGGAAAGGGCUUCAGGGCUGUACAUACUAACCAGGGGCUAAGUUCUGCUCUCAGUCACACUGGAGAAAACUCAAAGUAAUUAUCCUACUGACUUCAGUAAUAAUUUACAUUACUGUAAAUGACAGCAAAAAUUGGACCCAAUAUAGAAAUAAUUUAUACAAGGCCCUAAGUAUAGUUGCACAAUUCAAUCUGUAAAUAAUGCCACUAAUGCACAUAUGGCUAAUUUACAUCCAGACUAUGAGAACAUAUCCAGUGCUGACUUCCAGGAUGCUUGAAGCACUAGGCAGUGCCAAAACAAAUGUGCAGUAUUCCCAUAGCCCUCACAAUCCUUCCAACUUUUGGUGUUGGGAAGAUUCACUACGGAUAUUUUGGAAAAGUGAAGUUUUGUCUGUUCUAUGACUAAGUUUUCAACGAUUCUUGCAAAAAAGUAAAUAAAAAGGGCAUAGAAGGCUGUCAAGAUGCACUCCAUGUCUAUUUGCAUGAGCUCUGUACACUCGCUCAUCUCAAUGAGUUGUUUUCAUCUAAUUUGUCUCUUACUGGGAGCAGAGCUUUAGAAGCAGCUUGAGUUUUCUAAGAAUAAACCAUGCUUCAAUGAAAGGAGGAUUGUAAGCAACACUGGAGAAGAGCGCUUGGAGUACGUUGAUUUAAAGCACAUAAAACUUUACUACAGCAAUUUAAUUUAGAUUCCUUCUAUAAUCAUAUAUUUAUAUUAAGAACUGUCUGGAGCCAAACUGAAAUUUACUUUGCUAGAAGGCAAAGAUGAUAUAAAAUCUGAAUUAUUCAUCAACACAGCAAGAAGAAAAAUUCUCCCUAUAUACCCAAUAUUGUUCUGAGCUCUACACCAGCUUUGCAACAUGGGGUGAAGAGUUAGACAAUCCGUGUCUUGAUUUACCAAGACUUGAGAAGAACAUGUAUUGAACUUAAGCCUAACAAAUAAAUAAAUUCUCCUUUCUUUCCUCCUAAAAGAUCUUUCACUAUUGUAUUUAUUUUUUUUCUCCUUUAUUAUCAGAGAAUAAGCAUUCUCCUGUUACCAACACAUAGGAGGUGUUGAGACCCCACAGUUAACUGCAGAUUAAUCACGGCUGACUUGGAGCUGCAGGUGGAUUUCAUUAGAUCCUUCAACAACAGAAGAGAGAUGGGAUAGGCCUCUGGAAGGAGAAAAUCUCAGGGAAGAAAUUUUGGGGGCCUGGGAAAAAAGUCUUGGGAAUGAGUUUAAGUGUGUUUUAGUUAAGGUGAUCCAACUUCAAGAAGAAGGAGGUCUCCUCACCCUUUUCAAGCAGCUUUUCUUUAAAGUAGGUAGAUACUUCACCAGCUUGCUGAAACUGCUAACUUAGCAGACAAGGAAAUGAUGGAACUAUAACAGUUUAAUGUAUCUGCAAAUAAGCUCCUUUUACCUGGUCUCAGGUGGCAGCCUUCUAACAUUGAACAUUUAUGUCUUGUAAAC